This 480-nucleotide ribosomal RNA is filed under the name uncultured bacterium. RNAcentral's name for it is "partial 16S ribosomal RNA". It matches the Rfam family "Bacterial small subunit ribosomal RNA", at positions 28 to 507 of the family's 1533-position model. The record is from RNAcentral.
GAUGAACGCUAGCGGCAGGCCUAACACAUGCAAGUCGAGGGGUAGAAGGAGCUUGCUCCUUUGAGACCGGCGCACGGGUGCGUAACGCGUAUGCAAUCUACCUUGUACAGGGGAAUAGCCCAGAGAAAUUUGGAUUAAUGCCCCAUAGUAUAUAACCUUCGCAUGUUGGUUAUAUUAAAGUUCCAACGGUACAAGAUGAGCAUGCGUCCCAUUAGUUAGUUGGUAAGGUAACGGCUUACCAAGACGAUGAUGGGUAGGGGUCCUGAGAGGGAGAUCCCCCAGACUGGUACUGAGACACGGACCAGACUGCUACGGGAGGCAGCAGUGAGGGAUAUUGGUCAAUGGUCGCAAGACUGAACCAGCCAUGCCGCGUGCAGGAAGACGGUCCUAGGGAUUGUAAACUGCUUUUAGACAGGAAGAAACCCUCCCACGUGUGGGAGCUUGACGGUACUGUAGGAAUAAGGAUCGGCUAACUCCGUG